GAUGAACGCUGGCGGCGUGCCUAAUACAUGCAAGUCGAGCGAACAGACGAGGAGCUUGCUCCUCUGACGUUAGCGGCGGACGGGUGAGUAACACGUGGAUAACCUACCUAUAAGACUGGGAUAACUUCGGGAAACCGGAGCUAAUACCGGAUAAUAUAUUGAACCGCAUGGUUCAAUAGUGAAAGACGGUUUUGCUGUCACUUAUAGAUGGAUCCGCGCCGCAUUAGCUAGUUGGUAAGGUAACGGCUUACCAAGGCAACGAUGCGUAGCCGACCUGAGAGGGUGAUCGGCCACACUGGAACUGAGACACGGUCCAGACCCCUACGGGAGGCAGCAGUAGGGAAUCUUCCGCAAUGGGCGAAAGCCUGACGGAGCAACGCCGCGUGAGUGAUGAAGGUCUUCGGAUCGUAAAACACUGUUAUUAGGGAAGAACAAAUGUGUAAGUAACUAUGCACGUCUUGACGGUACCUAAUCAGAAAGCCACGGCUAACUACGUG
This 497-nucleotide ribosomal RNA is filed under the name uncultured bacterium. RNAcentral's name for it is "partial 16S ribosomal RNA". It matches the Rfam family "Bacterial small subunit ribosomal RNA", at positions 28 to 507 of the family's 1533-position model. The record is from RNAcentral.